RNAcentral lists this transfer RNA (73 nucleotides) under Colletotrichum cereale. RNAcentral's name for it is "tRNA-Arg". It matches the Rfam family "tRNA". From Rfam's summary of the family: Transfer RNA (tRNA) molecules are approximately 80 nucleotides in length. The record is from RNAcentral. Lineage: Eukaryota; Fungi; Ascomycota; Sordariomycetes; Glomerellales; Glomerellaceae.
GGCCUGAUGGCGUAAUGGCUAACGCAUUGCUUUCCGGUGGCAAAGACUCUGGGUUCGAGUCCCAGUUGGGUCG